Long non-coding RNA from Balaenoptera musculus (blue whale), 3147 nucleotides. RefSeq lists it as uncharacterized. Lineage: Eukaryota; Metazoa; Chordata; Mammalia; Artiodactyla; Balaenopteridae. The record is from RefSeq and is a predicted model, not a curated record. The transcript is spliced from 4 exons.
CGCUCCAAGGGAAGAGGAAGUCGGGCUCGGCGAGCGGGUGGGUGCGCCUCGGGCCGCGGGACUCGCCGCCGCUGCCGCCGCCUCUACGGCCGCGUCAGAACUGAGGAGAGGAAGGGGAGGAGCCGCGUGGAGCCUAAGCUGCCGCCUAAGCUUACCCCUGACCCGAGGGCAGUGGAGAGAGCCUGCUCCGUAGCGGUUUCCCUCAGAGCAGGUGGUGACUGCUCCUUGGGGAGCAAGGAGGAGGCCCAGGCCGCGCGGCCAUGGUCGGGCGCGCAUCACCCGAAGGUCAAGAACUGGAACACUGCCAGCACCCCAGAAGUCCCCCGCUGACCUUCCUGAACACAACUCUUUCCCUCCCUUUUAGAGUUCUUUGUUUAGAGUCAGUGAUAUUAUAAGACUGGAAGAAGACCCAGAGAAAUUAAAUGACUUACCCAGGGUCAGAAGAGCAAGUAAAAAGGAAGCCUGGACUUGGCCCCAAGUCUUCAAAAUAGAGUAUGCUCGCUGUUAUAUCACACUGGCCCUCAGGCUCCUGGAGCAGUAAGAAAUAUGAGUUCUGAGUUCCAAUUCAAGCUAUUAAAGGACAUUUAUGGAAAAGAAAACAACAAUCCUAGGGACUGACUCUUCUGUGAAAGAAUCACAUGGUAUAACAUCAGCACUCUCCAGAUAUUUGUUGAAGGCUUCCUUGUCAACCAGUAGGCUUCCACUUCGAGGAUGAGAAGAUAUCCUUAGGUUCUCCAGCCUGUCGUUGCAGGAUUGACAUUUCUUUCAAUAACCAAACAAAAUGUUAUGACCUACCAUCUUAUAUGUUAUGAAAAGUUCAGAGCCAGCUCUCUCCACUGUGGCUGGUGUCCUCAAAUUAUUUCAGUGGCUUGCCCCUCACUGGACAUGAGUAUUUCAUUUCAUCAGCAUAAGACUGUUCUAUGUAGCAGACUUUUAGGUUGAGGGGUAACAAAUGGUUAUUAUAGUAUAAGAACCAACUUACAACACAGGAAACAAUUUCAAAAUUGAUGUCAGAUAUAACUUUUCCUAAAACUGUUGGUCAGUUGCAACCUUAGGGAAUUUCUCACUGAUUAUGUCUUUCCUUAGGUCUCUUCCAGUCACCCUGGAUUUGCUACUCUAACCCCAUAUCCCCUUCACAUCUCUCCAGAACAGUCUCUUUAAAUACAAGAUUCCUUUUACUUUAUUACAAGCAAUUCAACUGUCUUAGGUCUCCACCUUUGAUUUAAAAAGCCCAUCAAACUCGUUAAUAAUUUAUGCAGAUGCAAAUAACAGAAAACCCAACUGGCAUAAACAUGUAGAGAGUUUGCUGUUUCUCUUAAUAAAAAAUCCACUGGUAGGGAGUUCAAGAUUGGCGCAGCAGCUCAGUAAUGCCAUCAAGUACCCAGGCUGUUUUUCUUUCCUUGCCGUCCUCAUUGCCAUCCAUGUCAUGUUGACUUUUAUCAUCAAGACUGUUGUUUAAUGAGUCACAAAUAGGCUGCUGUUCCUCAGGAGCUACAUCCAAAUUGCAGACUGGAAGGAAGGAGAACGGGUGGUGCCUGUAUGAGGGAAAGCCGAUUCUUCUCCCAACAUCUCCAGCACACUUCCGUUUAGGUCUAAUUGAUAAGAGUGGUGCCUUGGGGCACACCUAGAUCUAAAGAAGGCUGAGUAGUAUUUUAGCUGGGCAUUGUUGCCCAACAAGAGGUUGGAUUUCUAUAACUAAGGAAAGCGGGAAGAAUAGACAAGGAGUAGGAAAUUAGCAGUGUCUGACACACUUUGUCUUAGUCUGUUCUGACUGCUAUAAAAAAUUACCAUAGACUAGGUGGCUUAUGAGUAACAGAAAUUUAUUCCCCGCAGUUCUGGAGGCUCUAAGUCUGAGAUGAGGCUGCCAGCAUGGUGGGGAGAGGGCCUUCUUCCAGGUUGCAGACUGCUGACUUCUUGCAUCCUCACAUGAUGGAGAGCAGCGGACAGCAACCUCUCUCCUGACUCUUAAAAGGGCACUGAUCCCAUUCAUGAGGCUCCUCCUUCAUGACCUCAUCUAAUGCCAAUCACCUCCCAAAGGCCUCACCUCUUGGUACCAUCACAAGGGGGGAAGGAGAGGAGGGUGGCAGGGCAGAAUAAGAUUUUAACAUACGAACAUUCAGUCCAUAGCUCCCUUAAAGAUGUUUUUCGUAAAAAGACCAUCUACCCCAGAGAUGAAAUGCCAAGGUCUAAACCCCAGAAACAGCUACCAUGGUUUCUGUUUUAAAUGGCCAUUUCCCCAAUGCUUGGCAUACAAACAUCAGUAAUACGUAGCAUUUUCUUUUUGGCUUCUUGUAGUUUAAAAAUUCCAGCAAUAUAGUUUCAGGAGCAUUUUUAAUAAAUGAAUUUGUGACUUCCAUAUGGUUCGUUUUUAAUCUCUUACAUCAUCAUGGCAAAACACUGCUUAUUAGUGGCAUUUUAAGCUCUUGUUUUAGACCCAUGUGUAAGAAUGAUUAAAAAUUCAUUUCCCUUUUAAAACCAAACAUAAGCAUUACUUUUAUUUAGUUUAAAACAAUCUGAAACUUACAAAAAAUUACAAGUACAGUAGGAAGAACUUUUUUAUCUUGAACUCCCAUUUGGGAGCAAGUUGCCAGCCUGAUGCCCCAGCAUCCCCAAAUACUUAAGGGAGUGCAAUCAGUUAUUCUCCCACAUAAUCACAAUAUAACCAUCAAAAUAAACAUGGAUCAUUUAUAUUAAACAAUCCUAAGACCUUCAUUAAAUUUCAUCAAUCAUCCCAGUAAUAUCUUUUAUAGCAAAAAAAGGAUACACUUCAGAAUAUGUAUUGCAUUUAAUUGUCACAUCUCUUUAGUGUCCUUUAGUUAAAAAUGUUUCCUCACUCUUUGUUUGACUUUCAUGACCUUGAUACUUUUGAAGACUCAGUUAGUUAUUUUGUGGAAUAUCCCUCAAUUUGGGUGUGUUUGUGUUUGGCAGGAAUAUCACCAAAGUGAUGCUGUGUUCAGGUGACACUCAGUUUUGAUUUGUCCUAUUACUGGUGAUGUUCACUUUAAUCGCUUGAUUAAAAUGGUGUCUACCAGGCUUCUCCACAAGGAGGUAACUCCAAAAUGAAGUUACUAUUUUUUCCAUUUGGAAUUAUCAAGUAUUAAUUUUGCAAAGAGAUACUUUAGAUCUAAAUAAAUAUCCUAUUCCUUA